Leopardus geoffroyi (Geoffroy's cat) is the source of this 1804-nucleotide long non-coding RNA. RefSeq lists it as uncharacterized. The record is from RefSeq and is a predicted model, not a curated record. The transcript has 2 exons. NCBI's taxonomy places the organism in Eukaryota, Metazoa, Chordata, Mammalia, Carnivora, Felidae.
AGAGGCUGAAGAAGUCUAUGGGAGUAGAAGCUAGCACCAGAUCCCUGCUCCCCGCAGGACCCUGACGGUUGGGCCGGUGACCUCCAGAAUACAGAUGGAGAGUCUCCAGGGACAGAGGCUUUAGUGGACGAAAUUCGCACUAACCAGCUAACCCUUCCUAAUAAGAAGGGCGAAGACUCAGUGGACGAAGCUAACCUCUUCAUACUCACCCUCCAUCCCCUCACCCCUUUCCCUUCCAGAUCACCAUGUCUACAGGCAAGGCACCCCUCGGGGGUUAGCUGCGGAGGAUGAGGUCUGGGCGGGAUCAGUAGAGGUGGUGGGAUCAGAGCUCCUCACCUUCUCAGCUGCAGCCAAGGUCCGAGUGGGACUGACCAUUGUACUGUUUCUUUGGCUGUAGGGAACCUGACCAUGCUGUGGUCAGUGACUCGGCCACGACCCAGCCAACUCCAUCCUUCCCCUGUGCAACUCUUUGCCCAAUUAGCAGCUGCUGACUUGUCACCUUUGUGGCCCCUAGAUGCCACUUGGAAUAUCACUGUUCAAUGGCUGGCAGGGGACAUUGCGUGUUGGACACUCAUGUUCCUGAAACUAAUGGCCAUGUAUGCUGCAGCCUUCCUGCCUGUGGUCAUUGGACUCCACCGCCAGGAAGCAGUACUCCACUCACAUGGACCCCGCUCAGCUGGAAGGAAACUUCUGGAGACAGCCUGAGGACUUAGCUUCCUGCUUGCCUUGCCCCAGCUGUUCCUGUUCCACACUGUCCGCGAAGCUGGCCCAGUCUCCUUCACCCAGUGUGUAACCAAAGGCAGUUUCAAGGCUCGAUGGCAAGAGACCACCGAUAACCUCUUCACCUUAUGUUGCCUCUUUCUGCUGCCAUGGACUGCCAUGACCGUCUGCUAUACCUGCACCGUCCUCAGUGGGUCCAGUUCCCCGACGAGGAAGGGGGACCACGGUGAGACUCCAAUCCCCGGGCCCUAAUCCAUACCUUAAAACUAUGGCCUCUAGCCUCACUUACUGAUCUGAUAGCUGUGACCACCAAAAGUAACUUCAUAACCAUAUCUCUAGCACCUGAUGCUGCAAGUAUUUGCCAAAUGCCCUCAACUCUAACAACCUUCUAGCUAUCCUCUGGGGUUGAGUUAGCUGGCUACAGAGUAAGGAGAAAGAUGAUCAGUAUUCUCCUUUAGUCUUGGAUACCAUCAAGUCUUCAAGAAGACUUAGUAGCUUCAUGUAACACAGCACCUCAAUCAAAACCUUUUCUCCAGCAUGUCUGUCAUAAUCCUUGGGGUGGGGGGACAGGAGGGAAGCAUAUAGUCCCAGUUUGGGAAGGGAAGAGGGUUUACAGCAUUACCUAUUUGCCAUAUUUUCUUCCUUGUAUUGGGAGAGCUCCAGCUCAUGAUCUCUGCCACUCAUCCAUUCACCCUACACUCAACUCAGAAGCUGAGGGGUUCUGAAAUUGCAUAUAUUUUCUAAAUUCCCAACCCCUGCCGGUGAAUUUGCCCUCCGCUGCUCCUUAGACAAUUGUUCCCAUGUUCGUCUGCGGGCCCUGGGACUGGCCCUAGUUGUCUUGCUGACGUUUGUCUUCUGUUGGGACACCUUAUUACCUGCUAGAACUGUGGUACUGGUUCUCCCCCAUCAUGCUAACUGAAGUCCCUCCCAGCCUCAGCCACAUCCUUUUCCUUUUUGGCCUCUUCAGUGUUCCUCCGGAUCCUCUCCUCUAUGGAGCCUUUACCCUUGGCUGCUGAAGGCACCAAGAACACAGUAGAGACUCCUCCAGGGAAAAAGGCUCUGAGAGAAUGCCCCAACAGGAGAU